RNAcentral lists this ribosomal RNA (393 nucleotides) under uncultured bacterium. RNAcentral describes it as "bacterial SSU rRNA". It matches the Rfam family "Bacterial small subunit ribosomal RNA", at positions 1002 to 1397 of the family's 1533-position model. The record is from RNAcentral.
GGAGACAGAUUUCUUCCCUUCGGGGACCUAGUGACAGGUGCUGCAUGGCUGUCGUCAGCUCGUGUCGUGAGAUGUUGGGUUAAGUCCCGCAACGAGCGCAACCCUCGUCGUUAGUUGCCAUCAUUUAGUUGGGCACUUUAAGGAAACUGCCGGUGAUAAGCCGGAGGAAGGUGGGGAUGACGUCAAGUCCUCAUGGCCCUUACAGGCUGGGCUACACACGUGCUACAAUGGCGUUGACAGUGGGCAGCUAGACCGCAAGGUCAUGCUAAUCUCUAAAAGACGUCUCAGUUCGGAUUGUUCUCUGCAACUCGAGAGCAUGAAGGCGGAAUCGCUAGUAAUCGCGGAUCAGCAUGCCGCGGUGAUACGUUCCCAGGCCUUGUACACACCGCCCGU